This 497-nucleotide ribosomal RNA is filed under the name uncultured bacterium. Its description in RNAcentral is "partial 16S ribosomal RNA". It matches the Rfam family "Bacterial small subunit ribosomal RNA", at positions 28 to 507 of the family's 1533-position model. The record is from RNAcentral.
GAUGAACGCUGGCGGCGUGCCUAAUACAUGCAAGUCGAGCGAACGGACGAGAAGCUUUUUUCUCUGAUGUUAGCGGCGGACGGGCGAGUAACACGUGGAUAACCUACCUAUAAGACUGGGAUAACUACGGGAAACCGGAGCUAAUACCUGCUAAUAUUUUUAACCGCAUGGUUCCAAAGUGAAAGACGGUCUUGCUGUCACUUAUAGAUGCAUCCGCGCUGUAUUAGCUAGUUGGUAAGGUAACGGCUUACCAAGGCAACGAUGCAUAGCCGACCUGAGGGGGUAGGCGGCCACCCUGGAACUGAGACACGGUCCAGACUCCUACGGGACGCAGCAGAGGGGAAUCGUCUGCAGAGGGCGAAAGCCGGACGGAACAACGCCGCGUGAGUGAUGAAGUGCUUCGGUUCGUAAAACUCUGUUACUAGGGAAGAACAUAUGUGUAAGUAACUGUGCACAUCUUGACGGUACCUAAUCAGAAAGCCACGGCUAACUACGUG